RNAcentral lists this ribosomal RNA (443 nucleotides) under uncultured bacterium. Its description in RNAcentral is "bacterial SSU rRNA". It matches the Rfam family "Bacterial small subunit ribosomal RNA", at positions 32 to 447 of the family's 1533-position model. The record is from RNAcentral.
AAUCAACGCUGGCGGCGUGCCUCAGACAUGCAAGUCGAACGCGAAAGGGGGCGUUCGGCCUCCGAGUAGAGUGGCGCACGGGUGAAUAACACGUGGGUAAUCUACCUCCGGGUGGGGAAUAUCAGCUGGAAACGGCUGUUAAUACCGCAUAAUGCAGCGGCAUCUAUGAUGACAGUUGUUAAAGCGGGGGACCGUAGCAAUACGGCCUUGCGCCUGGAGAGGAGCCCCGCGGCGGAUUAGCUAGUUGGUGAGGUAAUGGCUCACCAAGGCUUCGAUCCGUAGCCGGCCUGAGAGGGCGGUCGGCCACACUGACACUGACACACGGGUCAGACUCCUACGGGAGGCAGCAGUCGGGAAUUUUGGGCAAUGGGCGCAAGCCUGACCCAGCAACGCCGCGUGAAGGAUGAAAUCUUUCGGGAUGUAAACUUCAUAAGAUCGGGAAG